ACCCGCGACUUAGAUUCAUGAUCCAUCCGUCUCUCUCGUCCUCGUGCCAUGGUGAUCGUGCCUCAUGCCGCUUGUGCGUAUAUUUCAUAGCAAUAUUAAUUAUCUAGCAAGUAAAUGCGUAAGAUUUGUGCAGGAUUAUUUUGUAUCUACGUUUUAUUGAAUGUGGUUGAAGCAUAUUUUUAAUAAUAUAUAUACAUUUCUACAAAUUGCUACUAUAUUAUUAACCUCAAAAUAAUUGCAUGCACAUUAUGAUUCUUUAUUCUAAUUAUUAAUUAUUACAUUAAACCAUCAUAGAGAUAUAUCUCUAUGCAUUAAACACGUCAGAACAUAAUUAACAUUAAUUCCAUAAAACUUUUUGUUAAUAACCUUUUAAUAAAUAUUGACCGACGGCUAUAACCUUUUGAAUGUUAUAAAAUACUCAUGGACAUAAAAUCUUAAUUAGUAUUAUAUUAUAUAAAAGUCACUCGUAGUGGCUUUGUUUAAAUAAUAAUAUAUGCAAUUAUGACUUAUUGAAUUUCACAUUCCUUAAUGUUGAAAUAAGUAAUAAAGUAAUUUGUAAUUAACUAUUAUUAUUAAAAAUCUCAAAUUUUCUUUUAUAUUAUUCUGUAUAUCUGUACAUUUGUAUAUUUGUUCUGUGAUCAAUAUAAAAGUAUAAGGAUGGUGUAAAAUUAACAAUUGGCUACAAAUGUUUUAUGUCGUUCAUGUUGAUGAUUGGUUUCAAACGAUCCCAGAUAACUGGGUAAAUAAAAUUAAUAAAACUAUCCAUUGGCUUACUGAAAAGAAUGCCAUGCUUACAAUGUGGAUAAAAAAAAAGGUACCAUACAAAUCGGAUUGGAAGAUACACAAUUACGUUUGUUUGUUUGGACCAUUCGAAAGCUAUCAAGAUUCCAAAAAUUUCGAGCAGCAAUGUACAGGAUACUCUUCUCAGGACGAAAUAUUCUAGGAACAAUACACAAGUCAUAAUAAGUCGUCGCUGCCCCAAAAACGAAAGCGAAAAAAAAUCCAAAAUACGACGAAACUAGUAGUUGCAAUAGUAUUGAGGAAUCUUCAGAAUCCGAAGAUAAUAAUCCACCAAAGACUAAUAAACACACUAACAUAUCGAAAGACAUCGGUAUCUUGCACUAAGUCCAAAUUAGAUACAUUGCCAUUGACAUCGCAUUUUGUAUAUAUUGACGACUUUAUAGAUGAAAGAAAUGUUGCAUCAUUUGACAUGGAUGAUGAAAAUAAUAUAAACGGUGCUAGGGAGUAUGUAAGACGAAUAAUAAAGAGGCUAAUGACAGAUAAUUUAGCCCUGAAAUAUUCCUGGAGCGGACAAAAAAACACCAUUUGAUUCAAAGAUUUUCUUACUUCAAAACUUAUUCUGGAAUCUGUGGCGUCUGUGCAUACAUCAGCAAAUCUUAAAACGAUGGAAGAUGCAAUACAAUCGUGGUUAAACCAUGCAUCGGAUCGAAAAAAGAAAGCAGAGAAAAAAGAGGAUCAACAUGCACGACUUGUAAUAAGAAUGUAAACAAUUAAUAAGCCAUCUGCAACUGUAUUAGAAACUGUGAUUUAUUAAUUAAACUGUUAUUUAUUAAAAUUUAAAUAAAGUAUUAAAAUAUAUGUAUGUAUAUAAGUACAUAAAGAAUAAAACGUUUAA
Molecule: long non-coding RNA, 1636 nt
Filed under: Monomorium pharaonis (pharaoh ant)
Lineage: Eukaryota; Metazoa; Arthropoda; Insecta; Hymenoptera; Formicidae
Description: uncharacterized LOC118646228, transcript variant X2
Source: RNAcentral